Molecule: long non-coding RNA, 2547 nt
Filed under: Helianthus annuus (common sunflower)
Lineage: Eukaryota; Viridiplantae; Streptophyta; Magnoliopsida; Asterales; Asteraceae
Description: hypothetical non coding rna
Source: RNAcentral
GAAACAAGAGAAAAUAUUCUGUAAUAAAGAAGAGGGGAUACUAAGAGAGAUAUAUUUCAUAUUGAGGAAGUUUUGAUCUCUAGUUUUAUAACACGUUAUCAGCACGAGCGCUGUCAACCAAGCAAAUCAACAAAAGCAAAUGAGCUAUUACCAUACUCAAUGUAAGAAUUUCAUAUAUUUAAAUAUAUAUACAUAUAUAUAUAUAGGUUGAAAGCCUAAGGGUGCACCAGUGAGUUGUAAAACCAUACACCUUUAGGAUGAUCUUUUAGAUCCCGUUUCUCCUUUAUAUAUAUGUAUACUUAUAAUAUAGUUCUGUGAUAAAUUAAAAUUAGUACAGAGGACCUAUCGCUCUGGAGAUAUAAUAAUCAUGGGACUACUAACAUUUAUUUAUGUACCUAACAUUUUUGUUUAUGCAUCUAAUAUUUAUUUAUGCAAUAUAACAUUUACUAGCUACAGUGAACUGUUUCAAAACGUAUCAUGGAAGCCUUAACCAAACGUAUGGUGUAAGCUUAAAUUUUCUUAUCUAUUUGUAACACCCCAAAACUCGAACUAUUAAAUUCAUUAGUAGGUUACCAUGUGUAAUUAGAUGAAGUACAAUAACUAAGUUAUUAGGCCUAGUUAAGUGUCUAAUGAAUAAAAGAAUGAGGUUUGUGGCAAUUAAGAUGAUAUGUUAAACUUGAGGGACUAAGGGUGCCAAGAUGGAAACUCAAGUUAUUAAAACAAAAUAUCACACACACACAAGGUGUGUGUGUGUGGUGGGAUCGUCGAGGAGAAAGAGCAGAGGGGUGUGAACCCUAGCUCUCAAGAACAACAACACAAAUUCAGCCCAAUCAAAGCCAAAAUCGAAUAGAAAGCCUUGCAUGGAUGAAGAUUUCUCAUAAUCUAACCCUAACAAACAUAUGGUAAGUUGUAAUUUUGAGUUUGAUGAUUUUUGUAUGAAGUGGCUUAGGAUCAAUCCACAAAAUUUACUGGAAUUAAGCAUGAAUAUAUGUUAGAAUUAUCAUUUGGAAUGUGAAUUAUACAAGAUUUGAUGUUAAUUGAGAUUCGAAGAUGAAACCCACUUGGGUUAGUAGAAAUGGCGACAUGGGUAUGUCACCCAUGUCCAACCCUUGUUUAAUUUUUGAUAUGAUAUGUUGCAUGUGACCAAAUUGUUAGUUAAAUUGAACAUGGUAUGGAAUUGAAUUGUUAUUGGUAUUUUGGAUGAUUGAAAACAAGAACUAGGAAGAAAAGAAUGAAGGUUACUUGUACAUUAUGUUUAGAAACUUGUACGUAUGCCAAGUGUUCGAUGAAAUGACUAGGUGAAUUUAGAAGGUGAAAUAGUAUGCAAGAAAGUGGUAAUUAGAUAUGGAAUGUGAUAAAGGGGUGUUUGAUAGUAAAUUAACAUGAGAAUUGAGUUUAGAUAUAGUUCAUUGCUAAGUAUGGAUUAUGGUGCAAUUGUAGAAUUAAUGAGGUUUCUAGUAUGGUGUGUACAUGUAAACAAGUGAUCAUGCGAUUAAAUGAGUAUCUCACCAUGAGUGUACCACAUGCUAUUGAUAUGAUUAAUGGAAGUCGAAUGUGAAUUGUGAAUUAAUAUGGUUGUUCUCUUGUAUGAUUUCAUAUGCUAACAAGAACGUGUGUGUAAUGAAACGAAUGUAUGUGUGAGUAAAUAUGUAUGUGUGUAUCAUUAUGUGAUUAUGUGGUUGUAAGUACAUUUUCAUCAUAAGUAGGAAAUGUAUAUAGUGUCAUAUGUAUAGCCUAAUAUGAUGUAGCGAAUAUAUGAGGUUAAGUCGGAAGUUUAUACAUUAAACCGUUGACUUUUGGAAGUCAACUGCACAUAAGGGACAUAGCUAGAUUUUUGACACAAUUAUAAGAUCUUGGAACGUCAUAUGGUAUGUGUUAAAUUAAUAUGCGUUUUAUGCGUUAACAUGAUGGAUUGUAUGAGUUUGAAAAGAUAUGAUUUGGGCGUAUGCCUUAUGUUUGUUAGACUUGACUAUGAAAGCUAAUUGCGAGUUAUGCAUUCGACAUGAUCAUUUAUAUGUAAAAUCAUGUAUACUAACAAGGAUGUGAUUGCGGUGACACGAAAGCAUUAGGGAUCAUGUGGAAAUGGACUCAAGCAAGAAAGACUAACGGGUCAAGAGGAGACAAGAAAGUGGAUGCGAAAACGGACGCUCAAUGUAUGCCAUUGAAAUCCGUGGUGCAGUUUUGAGGAUUUGGGAUGCUAGAUUGUGAGUAGAAGAAUGAUCGAAAGAACCUGCAAGAAUAGAAAGAAUGCGGCGUGGUCAUUUCAUUAUGUAUGAUAGAUUUUGAAUUGUAGUUAUUAAAUUUAAUGAUGUGCAAAUUUGUGGUGAAUGUAGGAUUCGCAGAUUAAUAUCGGAAUAAAGUAUUGGAGGAUUGAAGAUCGAGUCAAGAGCAAGGAUUGUACGGGAGAACAGUCACGUAGUUAUAGUUAUAUAAUGUUUUAACAAGUGGAAGUAAAUGUACACAUUUCCUUUAGUAAAUGUUUAAUAUUUUGAAGUUUGAGUCUUCAUGCAUGUUUUGUGUUUAAAUUAUAAAGAAAUUUUAAGGCUU